This 254-nucleotide ribosomal RNA is filed under the name uncultured bacterium. RNAcentral describes it as "partial 16S ribosomal RNA". It matches the Rfam family "Bacterial small subunit ribosomal RNA", at positions 524 to 776 of the family's 1533-position model. The record is from RNAcentral.
UACGUAGGGUGCAAGCGUUAAUCGGAAUUACUGGGCGUAAAGCGUGCGCAGGCGGUUGUGCAAGACAGAUGUGAAAUCCCCGGGCUUAACCUGGGAAUUGCAUUUGUGACUGUACGGCUAGAGUGUGUCAGAGGGGGGUAGAAUUCCACGUGUAGCAGUGAAAUGCGUAGAGAUGUGGAGGAAUACCGAUGGGCGAAGGCAGCCCCCUGGGAUAACACUGACGCUCAUGCACGAAAGCGUGGGGAGCAAACAGG